AGUGAACGCUGGCGGUAGGCCUAACACAUGCAAGUCGAACGGCAGCACAGUAAGAGCUUGCUCCUACGGGCGGCGAGUGGCGGACGGGUGAGUAAUACAUCGGAAUCUACUUUUUCGUGGGGGGUAACGCAGGGGAACUUACGCCAAUACCGCAUACGACUUACGGGUGAAAGCAGGGGAUCUUCGGACCUUGUGCGAUUGAAUGAGCCGAUGUCGGAUUAGAUAGCUGGCGGGGUAAAGGCCCACCAAGGCGACGAACCGUAGCUGGUCUGAGAGGAUGAUAAGCCACACUGGAACUGAGACGCGGUCCGGACUACAACGGGAGGCAGCAGUGGGGUGUAUAGUACUAUGCGCGGAGCCCUAGUCCAGACAUGCCGCGUGGGUGGAAAAAGCAUUCGGGUAUUGGAUCUAAUUUGUUUUGAUAGAAAGGCAGCGGGUUAGUACCCCGCUGUUCUGACGGUACCCAAUGAAUAAGAACCGGCUAACUUCGUG
Molecule: ribosomal RNA, 492 nt
Filed under: uncultured bacterium
Lineage: Bacteria
Description: partial 16S ribosomal RNA
Rfam family: Bacterial small subunit ribosomal RNA
Source: RNAcentral